UUUCUCUUCAAGUUGAAUUUUAAUUUUUUAUUUGUUUAAGGUGUUUUAAUGACAGAGAUGGAGAAAGAAGAGAGGAGCCAAAGAGCAUGCAAAACGAUAGAGCCAGAGGUGUUUUUACAGUGGGGGAAUAGAAAGAGGCUAAGAUGUGUGAGAGUUAAAGACCCUCAAAAGGUCUCUCAUAAAUCCAGUGUUGUAAUUCGUAGAAGACUCACUUCUACCAAUUAUAAUCAUGGUCUCACC
This is a long non-coding RNA of Hibiscus syriacus, 240 nucleotides long. RefSeq lists it as uncharacterized. NCBI's taxonomy places the organism in Eukaryota, Viridiplantae, Streptophyta, Magnoliopsida, Malvales, Malvaceae. The transcript has 3 exons. The record is from RefSeq and is a predicted model, not a curated record.